This 248-nucleotide ribosomal RNA is filed under the name uncultured Oscillospiraceae bacterium. RNAcentral describes it as "partial 16S ribosomal RNA". It matches the Rfam family "Bacterial small subunit ribosomal RNA", at positions 524 to 771 of the family's 1533-position model. Lineage: Bacteria; Bacillati; Bacillota; Clostridia; Eubacteriales; Oscillospiraceae. The record is from RNAcentral.
UACGUAGGUGGCGAGCGUUAUCCGGAAUUACUGGGCGUAAAGGGUGUGUAGGCGGGACUGCAAGUCAGAUGUGAAAAUUACGGGCUCAACCCGUGACCUGCAUUUGAAACUGUAGUUCUUGAGAGCCGGAGGGGUAAAUGGAAUUCCCAGUGUAGCGGUGAAAUGCGUAGAUAUUGGGAGGAACACCAGUGGCGAAGGCGAUUUACUGGACGGCAACUGACGCUGAGACACGAAAGUGUGGGGAGCAA